UCACCAAAUAAUAAUGAAGAUCAUUUGAAAACAUCAAGUGGGGCUCCUUCGUCAACACCUACAAUUGGAAAAUCAAUUCCAUCGUUGGAACCACAACAAGAAGACAUGGCAUCUCCUCAAACAGGAUCUCCUCUGCCAACACCGACAAAUAAUGAAAAACGUGUGAAACGAAAGGGUCAAACGACAACGCAACAUGUUGGAUCACCAAAUUCACCUUUGGAAGGUCAUUCUGCAAACGCACCAAAUGAAAAUGGUUCGUCGUUCCAACCACAUUCUCCAUCAUCGUCACCUGGUCAAGAAGAAAGUGUGGAGAGUCCUUCAGGUUCCGCUAGGGAAACACCUACAAACGAAGCAAGUUUCAUUGGAAGAUCACCAAAUAAUAAUGAAGAUCAUUUGAAAACAUCAAGUGGGGCUCCUUCGUCAACACCUACAAUUGGAAAAUCAAUUCCAUCGUUGGAACCACAACAAGAAGACAUGGCAUCUCCUCAACCAGUUUCUUCUCAACGAACACCGACAAAUAAUGAAAAUCGUGUGAAACGAAGGGGUGAAACAAUAACUCAACAUGUUGGAUCACCAAAUUCACCUUUGGAAGGUCAUUCUCCAAACGCACCCAAUGAAAAUGGUUCGUCGUUCCUACCACAUUCUCCAUCAUCGUCACCUGGUCAAGAAGAAAGUGUGGAGAGUCCUUCAGGUUCCGCUAGGGAAACACCUACAAACGAAGCAAGUUUCAUUGGAAGAUCACCAAAUAAUGAAGAUCAUUUGAAAACAUCAAGUGGGGCUCCUUCGUCAACACCUACAAUUGGAAAAUCAAUUCCAUCGUUGGAACCACAACAAGAAGACAUGGCAUCUCCUCAACCAGUUUCUUCUCGACUAACACCGACAAAUAAUGAAAAUCGUGUGAAACGAAAGGGUCAAACAACAACUCAACAUGUUGGAUCACCAAAGACACCUUCGGAAGGUCAUUCUCCAAACGCACCCAAUGAAAAUGUUUCGUCGUUCCUACCACAUUCUCCAUCAUCGUCACCUGGUCAAGAAGAAAGUGUGGAGAGUCCUUUAGGUUCCGCUAGGGAAACACCUACAAACGAAGCAAGUUUCAUUGGAAGAUCACCAAAUAAUGAAGAUCAUUUGAAAAUAUCAAGUGGGGCUCCUUCUUCAACACCUACAAUUGGAAAAUCAAUUCCAUCGUUGGAACCACAACAAGAAGACAUGGCAUCUCCUCAACCAGUUUCUUCUCGACUAACACCGACAAAUAAUGAAAAUCGUGUGAAACGAAAGGGUGAAACAACAACUCAACAUGUUGGAUCACCAAAGACACCUUCGGAAGGUCAUUCUCCAAACGCAGCCAAUGAAAAUGGAUCGUCGUUCCUACCACAUUCUCCAUCAUCGUCACCUGGUCAAGAAGAAAGUGUGGAGAGUCCUUUAGGUUCCGCUAGGGAAACACCUACAAACGAAGCAAGUUUCAUUGGAAGAUCACCAAAUAAUGAAGAUCAUUUGAAAACAUCAAGUGGGGCUCCUUCUUCAACACCUACAAUUGGAAAAUCAAUUCCAUCGUUGGAACCACAACAAGAAGACAUGGCAUCUCCACAAACAGGAUCUCCUCGACUAACACCGACAGAUAAUAAAAAUCAUGUGAAACGAAAGGGUCAAACAACAACGCAACAUGUUAGAUCACCAAAUUCACCUUUGGAAGGUCAUUCUCCAAACGCACCCAAUGAAAAUGGUUCGUCGUUCCUACCACAUUCUCCAUCAUCGUCACCUGGUCAAGAAGAAAGUGUGGAGAGUCCUUCAGGUUCCGCUAGGGAAACACCUACAAACGAAGCAAGUUUCAUUGGAAGAUCACCAAAUAAUGAAGUACAUUUGAAAACAUCAAGUGGGGUUCCUUCGUCAACACCUACAAUUGGAAAAUCAAUUCCAUCGUUGGAACCACAACAAGAAGACAUGGCAUCUCCUCAACCAGUUUCUUCUCGACUAACACCGACAAAUAAUGAAAAUCGUGUGAAACGAAAGGGUGAAACGACAACGCAACAUGUUGGAUCACCAAAUUCACCUUUGGAAGGUCAUUCUCCAAACGCACCCAAUGAAAAUGGUUCGUCGUUCCAACCACAUUCUCCAUCAUCGUCACCUGGUCAAGAAGAAAGUGUGGAGAGUCCUUCAGGUUCCGCUAGGGAAACACCUACAAACGAAGCAAGUUUCAUUGGAAGAUCACCAAAUAAUAAUGAAGAUCAUUUGAAAACAUCAAGUGGGGCUCCUUCGUCAACACCUACAAUUGGUAAAUCAAUUCCAUCGUUGGAACCACAACAAGAAGACAUGGCAUCUCCACAAACAGGAUCUCCUCGACGAACACCGACAGAUAAUAAAAAUCAUGUGAAACGAAAGGGUCAAACAACAACGCAACAUGUUAGAUCACCAAAUUCACCUUUGGAAGGUCAUUCUCCAAACGCACCCAAUGAAAAUGGUUCGUCGUUCCUACCACAUUCUCCAUCAUCGUCACCUGGUCAAGAAGAAAGUGUGGAGAGUCCUUCAGGUUCCGCUAGGGAAACACCUACAAACGAAGCAAGUUUCAUUGGAAGAUCACCAAAUAAUGAAGAUCAUUUGAAAACAUCAAGUGGGGCUCCUUCGUCAACACCUACAAUUGGAAAAUCAAUUCCAUCGUUGGAACCACAACAAGAAGACAUGGCAUCUCCUCAACCAGUUUCUUCUCGACUAACCCCGACAAAUAAUGAAAAUCGUGUGAAACGAAAGGGUGAAACAACAACUCAACAUGUUGGAUCACCAAAGACACCUUUGGAAGGUCAUUCUCCAAACGCACCCAAUGAAAAUGGAUCGUCGUUCCUACCACAUUCUCCAUCAUCGUCACCUGGUCAAGAAGAAAGUGUGGAGAGUCCUUCAGGUUCCGCUAGGGAAACACCUACAAACGAAGCAAGUUUCAUUGGAAGAUCACCAAAUAAUAAUGAAGAUCAUUUGAAAAUAUCAAGUGAGGCUCCUUCGUCAACACCUACAAUUGGUAAAUCAAUUCCAUCGUUGGAACCACAACAAGAAGACAUGGCAUCUCCACAAACAGGAUCUCCUCGACUAACACCGACAGAUAAUGAAAAUCAUGUGAAACGAAAGGGUCAAACAACAACGCAACAUGUUGGAUCACCAAAGACACCUUUGGAAGGUCAUUCUCCAAACGCACCCAAUGAAAAUGGAUUGUCGUUCCUACCACAUUCUCCAUCAUCGUCACCUGGUCAAGAAGAAAGUGUGGAGAGUCCUUCAGGUUCCGCUAGGGAAACACCAACAAACGAAGCAAGUUUCAUUGGAAGAUCACCAAAUAAUGAAGAUCAUUUGAAAACAUCAAGUGGGGCUCCUUCGUCAACACCUACAAUUGGAAAAUCAAUUCCAUCGUUGGAACCACAACAAGAAGACAUGGCAUCUCCUCAACCAGUUUCUUCUCGACUAACACCGACAAAUAAUGAAAAUCGUGUGAAACGAAAGGGUGAAACAACAACUCAACAUGUUGGAUCACCAAAUUCACCUUUGGAAGGUCAUUCUCCAAACGCACCCAAUGAAAAUGGUUCGUCGUUCCAACCACAUUCUCCAUCAUCGUCACCUGGUCAAGAAGAAAGUGUGGAGAGUCCUUUAGGUUCCGCUAGGGAAACACCUACAAACGAAGCAAGUUUCAUUGGAAGAUCACCAAAUAAUGAAGAUCAUUUGAAAACAUCAAGUGGGGCUCCUUCGUCAACACCUACAAUUGGUAAAUCAAUUCCAUCGUUAGAACCACAACAAGAAGACAUGGCAUCUCCACAAACAGGAUCUCCUCGACUAACACCGACAGAUAAUAAAAAUCAUGUGAAACGAAAGGGUCAAACAACAACGCAACAUGUUAGAUCACCAAAUUCACCUUUGGAAGGUCAUUCUCCAAACGCACCCAAUGAAAAUGGUUCGUCGUUCCUACCACAUUCACCAUCAUCGUCACCUGGUCAAGAAGAAAGUGUGGAGAGUCCUUCAGGUUCCGCUAGGGAAACACCUACAAACGAAGCAAGUUUCAUUGGAAGAUCACCAAAUAAUAAUGAAGAUCAUUUGAAAACAUCAAGUGAGGCUCCUUCGUCAACACCUACAAUUGGUAAAUCAAUUCCAUCGUUGGAACCACAACAAGAAGACAUGGCAUCUCCACAAACAGGAUCUCCUCGACUAACACCGACAGAUAAUAAAAAUCAUGUGAAACGAAAGGGUCAAACAACAACGCAACAUGUUAGAUCACCAAAUUCACCUUUGGAAGGUCAUUCUCCAAACGCACCCAAUGAAAAUGGUUCGUCGUUCCUACCACAUUCUCCACCAUCGUCACCUGAUCAUGAAGAAAUUGUGGAGAGUCCUUCAGGUUCUGCUAGGGAAACACCUACAAACGAAGCAAGUUUCAUUAGAAGAUCACCAAAUAAUGAAGAUCAUUUGAAAACAUCAAGUGGGGCUCCUUCGUCAACACCUACAAUUGGUAAAUCAAUUCCAUCGUUGGAACCAAAACAAGAAGACAUGGCAUCUCCUCAAACAGGAUCUCCUCUGCCAACACCGACAAAUAAAGAAAAACGUGUGAAACGAAAGGGUCAAACGACAACGCAACAUGUUGGAUCACGAAAUUCACCUUUGGAAGGUGAUUCUCCAAACGCACCCAAUGAAAAUGGUUCGUCGUUUCAACCACAUUCUCCAUCAUCGUCACCUGACCAUGAAGAAAGUGUGGAGAGUCCUUCAGGUUUUGGUAGGGAAACACCUACAAACGAAGCAAGUUUCAUUGGAAGAUCACCAAAUAAUGAAGUUCAUUUGAAAACAUCAAGUGGGGCUCCUUCGUCAACACCUACAAUUGGACAAUCAAUUCCAUCGUUGGAACCACAACAAGAAGAUAUGGCAUCUCCACAACCAGUUUCUUCUCGACUAACACCGACAAAUAAUGAAAAUCGUGUGAAACGAAAGGGUCAAAUAACAACUCAACAUGUUGGAUCACCAAAGACACCUUUGAAAGGUCAUUCUCCAAACGCACCCAAUGAAAAUGGUUCGUCGUUCCAACCACAUUCUCCAUCAUCGUCACCUGACCACGAAGAAAGUGUGGAAAGUCCUUCAGGUUUUGGUAGGGAAACAAGUACAAACGAAGCAAGUUUAAUUGGAAGAUCACCAAAUAAUGAAGAUCAUUUGAAAACAUCAAGUGGGGCUCCUUCGUCAACACCUACAAUUGGAAAAUCAAUUCCAUCAUUGGAACCCCAACAAGAAGACAUGACAUCUCCACAUAUCGGAUCUCCUCGACCAACACCGACAAGCAAUGAAA
This 5293-nucleotide long non-coding RNA is filed under the name Zostera marina. Its description in RNAcentral is "long non-coding RNA (ZMAR_LNC004438)". Lineage: Eukaryota; Viridiplantae; Streptophyta; Magnoliopsida; Alismatales; Zosteraceae. The record is from RNAcentral.